UACAUGGGGUGCAAACGCUGCUCGGAAUUAUUGGGCGUAAAGCGCGCGUAGGCGGUUACUUAAGUCGGAUGUGAAAGCCCUCGGCUUAACUGAGGAAGUGCACCCGAAACUGAGUAGCUAGAGUACGAAAGAGGGUCGCGGAAUUCCCGGUGUAGAGGUGAAAUUCGUAGAUAUCGGGGGGAACACCGGUGGCGAAGGCGGCGACCUGGGUCGAGACUGACGCUGAGGCGCGAAAGCGUGGGGAGCAAACAGG
Molecule: ribosomal RNA, 253 nt
Filed under: uncultured bacterium
Lineage: Bacteria
Description: partial 16S ribosomal RNA
Rfam family: Bacterial small subunit ribosomal RNA
Source: RNAcentral